Long non-coding RNA from Mus caroli (Ryukyu mouse), 1100 nucleotides. RefSeq lists it as uncharacterized. Lineage: Eukaryota; Metazoa; Chordata; Mammalia; Rodentia; Muridae. The record is from RefSeq and is a predicted model, not a curated record.
ACCUUUGAGUGGAUCAAGAGCGUGUCCUUGGCCAGAGGCUUAUGAGAUUCCAAUUGGCUUACAUCUGGGUCACAUGCUCUUUGAUUAGGUGUCAGGUCACUUUCCUCAAAGCAGAUCAGCUACUCUGGUACUCUGGGUACUCUGUGUCCAUUCUGUGAACAGUUAGCCAAGAGAAAGACCCUGGUCAAUGCAGAGCUCUCUGCUGCCCAUCUCCAAUCUCAUAAAGGAGCCUGGUGAGAAGAAAUGAUGAACAUUUAAGCGAAGGAACCUUACAGACACUCCCCACUCUGCCUUCGAGGAAACAGAUAGAAAGCACCAAACACAAGAGGUCUGAUCAUCUGAUUCAGUCCAGGAGGCUGGUGAGAUGGGCAUCUCGUCCAGAAACGUUUGGAAACAGCUACAAAACGACGUACUACACUCUUUCCUCAAAAUACUAACCCCAUUCCUAGAAAUCUAGGCCAUAGUUUAGAAAAUAAACCCAGUGUGGGUAUACGGCUGUAGGUUUGUUUGAGGUUGGGGACAAGAUGGAAGCCCUAUGAAAUCCUAGGGGAAUCUGCACUGAUAUCGUGGGCUCAGAAAGAGAAGACCCGAGCUUUGGAAAGAGAAGGGCUUUGGCCAACAUUACACUGCAUGCUAAAAUGACUGGGAAAAAGAAAGAGGACCUGCCUGCCUCACACACGUGGACUAUUCUGUCAUUUAUGGACACAGAGACAGGUGUGGAGGUGGGGGAAGCAGAGCACAGAGUACAGAUGGCUAGAGCCCGCACAGCAAUAAAUGCUCAGACGAGGAACCUAAAGCCAGAGGAGAAGCAGAAGUGAAGCUUGAGACUGUCUUCUUCCAUAUUCUCAGGGUGCGCAGCUUCACACCCCUGCAGCUCCACACUGUCCCUGGAGUGGGGGAUGGGCAGGGCGAGCAUGUGCUGGGACAGGGCAUGAGGGUGAUGAGGAGCCUUAAAGUCCAGGAACUCUACCUCUCCAGCUCAGUCUCAGUUCCCCCCACCCUCUUGCCCUAUUUACCAUGCACUCAUACAACAUCUCUCUGGUCCCUUCCAACACUAUUGGCUUAUCCUUCGGGCCAGUGUAAAACCUUCACUGACUUUU